CAGUAUCUCCCUUGCUGUGUUCUGUUAUGAUACAGUAAGAAAAACCGUUAUAACCUGAAUAAGAACUUGAUCAUAAGAUUCUUUUAAUUGCGCAACAAGAAUCACAAUACAUGCUACCAGAGCAAGUCCAAAGAACAACUUCAGGGUUUAACUCUGCAAGUGCAUCAAGAACUAUCCAAGCCUACUUAUGCUGAUUACAUGCUGCUCCACAUUUUUCAAUGGCUUGAGUUAAAUUAAAACCAUAGAAUGUGGUUUAAAACUUCAAAUUAUGAUUCAAAUUGUCAUAUCAGUGAGUGAAAUCAUAAGGUAACACAACAACACAG
Long non-coding RNA from Arabidopsis thaliana (thale cress), 323 nucleotides. RefSeq annotates it as other RNA. The transcript has a single exon. NCBI's taxonomy places the organism in Eukaryota, Viridiplantae, Streptophyta, Magnoliopsida, Brassicales, Brassicaceae. The record is from RefSeq.